CAGCUUUGUGUUGGAGCAAAAGUGAUGGUCAUUAAAAAUGUGGAUGUUUCAGAUGGGCUAGUAAAUGGCACACAAGGCAUAGUAAGAGACUUUUGGAAACCAGAAAUCGCAGGGAAAAAAGUUAUACUGUAACUGCUGUUAUAGUGAAACUUGAUGAUAACAAUUCUGAAGCACAAACACGUGCAAAAUAUCCUCAAAUUGGUAGAAAGGAUCCAGGUUGUGCACCAAUCUUUAGAGACGAAGUUACAUAUUGGUGGUUACAAUAAAGGAUGUCAAGAAGUUCGCCAACAGUUUCCUCUUCGACUGUCCUGGGCUUGCACUGUUCACAAAACGCAGGGUAUGACACUACAGAAAGCUGUGGUACACGUUGAAGGACGGUUUGAUAAUGGUCAGUGUUACGUUGCCUUGAGUCGAGUAACCUCUCUAAAUGGUUUAUUUUUAACAAAGUUUGAUGGUAACAAGAUGAGGGCAAGCAAUGAAACUAAAGAAUGUAUUAAGUCUAUGAAUUUGAAACUAGUGACUUUUUACAAAACCUUGUUAACCAGAUACCAUAAAAUUUGAUCAGACUUGCUCUCUUGAACACUAGAUCAUUCCAUAGGUACUUCAAAGACAUUAUCUCAGAUCCAGAGUUAACUUCAGCAGAUGUUUUAUGUUUCACUGAAACUUGGAUGAAACAGCAGCCAACACCAGACCUGACUAACAGGACAACAUAUCGGCAAGAUAGAAAGUACAAGCAAGCUGCUGGAGUUCUCUGCUAUAUCAGUACUGAAUUUAAAUCGCAGUGUUUCCUUAGAGAAACCAACAAUGAUAUAGACAUUUAACAUGUCGUGCUAAGUGUUAGGGACUCAGUUCAUAAUAUAUUAGUUUAUUGUGCACCAAAUGGUAGCACUGCUCACUGCAAGGACAUUAUCUAUAAUGCAAUCAAGGACAUUCCGGACACUGAUAGAAACUUAUCCUGGAGGACUUCAACAAGGUAGUCCUAAAUAGUCAGAAGUUUUCUACAUUUCGAAACCUGAUUCAAAGUCCCACGUGUAAGACAGGCAGUGUUUUAGACAUGGUGUUUUACAACAGACAGGAUCAAGUCAUGACUCAUAUUCACCAAGUGUACUUUAGUGACCAUAUUGUUAUUUGGGUUGGAGUUCCAUUUUAAAGAAAAGGGGGUCCUUUCAAAUCACCAGAGGCGGCAAAGGUGACUACGGCUAUUUGCAAUAUUUUAUUCGGUAAGGCCAUCUUAUUGACAUGAAGCUGUACUAUCAGGAAUUCUAUGUGAAAAAAAGCAGAAUACCAGAUUAAGGAAUUAAGAACUAGCAUUUAAGAUAUUGUUUCUGAAUACAGUAUCUGUAACAAA
This is a long non-coding RNA of Dreissena polymorpha, 1348 nucleotides long. RefSeq lists it as uncharacterized. The transcript has 2 exons. Lineage: Eukaryota; Metazoa; Mollusca; Bivalvia; Myida; Dreissenidae. The record is from RefSeq and is a predicted model, not a curated record.